Molecule: ribosomal RNA, 468 nt
Filed under: uncultured bacterium
Lineage: Bacteria
Description: partial 16S ribosomal RNA
Rfam family: Bacterial small subunit ribosomal RNA
Source: RNAcentral
GACGAACGCUGGCGGCGUGCUUAACACAUGCAAGUCGAACGGAAAGGCCCUGCUUUUGUGGGGUGCUCGAGUGGCGAACGGGUGAGUAACACGUGAGUAACCUGCCCUUGACUUUGGGAUAACUUCAGGAAACUGGGGCUAAUACCGGAUAGGAGCUCCUGCUGCAUGGUGGGGGUUGGAAAGUUUCGGCGGUUGGGGAUGGACUCGCGGCUUAUCAGCUUGUUGGUGGGGUAGUGGCUUACCAAGGCUUUGACGGGUAGCCGGCCUGAGAGGGUGGACGGCGACAUUAGGACUAAGAUAGGGACCAGACUCGUACGGGCGGCAGCAGUGGAGAGUAUGGCAGAAUGGGCGGAAGCGUGAGGCAGAGACGCCGGGUGCGGGAUGACGGCCUUCGGGUUGAAAACCGCUUUCGCCUGUGACGAAGCGUGAGUGACGGUAAUGGGUAAAGAAGCACCGGCUAACUACGUG